RNAcentral lists this long non-coding RNA (505 nucleotides) under Homo sapiens (human). RNAcentral describes it as "HSALNT0307963". Lineage: Eukaryota; Metazoa; Chordata; Mammalia; Primates; Hominidae. The record is from RNAcentral.
UUAGGUUGCAGUUUGUUAUAUGGGAAUGCAAAGUAUGGACACAACUUCAAGCUAAUGCCUCGGGCUUAUUUAACAGUAUUAUCAUGUGAAAGACACAGCUGUGGAGAGGCAAAGGGUAAGGGAUUUGGCAUCAGUUAAACUGAGGUGACAAGGUAGCACAUUUGUACAUAAUAAGGCUGGCCUGGGGAUGGAGGGAGUCCCUGCCCUGACUGUGACUCAGUGAGACUCUUUGCCUGGUCCUAGUCCAAGAGAAACGCAUGCUAUGAUCUCACUGAAGUCUGAAGUGACUCUGAAACUUUGCAGUAAAAAGAAAAUUUCAUCCUUUAAGAUGAGUGGCCCUGGAACCACGGCAGCCAUAUUGCCACCAGCUGGAAGACGAAGCCAACGGUGGGAGAAGACAGAGCUGGUCGAAUCCCCCAGGAGUAAAAUGCAGCCUGUAGUACCCUUCCUGGAUUGUAUCUUACUUGGAGUCUUCUUGUUCUGGGAGGCAAUAAAUUUCUUUGUU